UACGGGGGGAGCAAGCGUUGUUCGGAUUUACUGGGCGUAAAGGGCGCGUAGGCGGCGCAACAAGUCACUUGUGAAAUCUCCGGGCUUAACUCGGAGCGGCCAAGUGAUACUGUCGUGCUAGAGUGCGGAAGGGGCUACUGGAAUUCUCGGUGUAGCGGUGAAAUGCGUAGAUAUCGAGAGGAACACCUGCGGCGAAGGCGGGUUGCUGGGCUGACACUGACGCUGAUGCGCGAAAGCCAGGGGAGCGAACGGG
Molecule: ribosomal RNA, 253 nt
Filed under: uncultured bacterium
Lineage: Bacteria
Description: partial 16S ribosomal RNA
Rfam family: Bacterial small subunit ribosomal RNA
Source: RNAcentral